RNAcentral lists this ribosomal RNA (497 nucleotides) under uncultured bacterium. RNAcentral describes it as "partial 16S ribosomal RNA". It matches the Rfam family "Bacterial small subunit ribosomal RNA", at positions 28 to 507 of the family's 1533-position model. The record is from RNAcentral.
GACGAACGCUGGCGGCGUGCCUAAUACAUGCAAGUUGAGCGAUGAAGCUUGGUGCUUGCCCCAAUUUGAAGAGCAGCGAACGGGUGAGUAACGCGUGGGGAAUCUGCCUUUGAGCGGGGGACAACAUUUGGAAACGAAUGCUAAUACCGCAUAACAACUUUAAACAUAAGUUUUAAGUUUGAAAGAUGCAAUUGCAUCACUCAAAGAUGAUCCCGCGUUGUAUUAGCUAGUUGGUGAAGUAAAGGCUCACCAAGGCGAUGAUACAUAGCCGACCUGAGAGGGUGAUCGGCCACAUUGGGACUGAGACACGGCCCAAACCCCUACGGGAGGCAGCAGUAGGGAAUCUUCGGCAAUGGACGAAAGUCUGACCGAGCAACGCCGCGUGAGUGAAGAAGGUUUUCGGAUCGUAAAACUCUGUUGGUAGAGAAGAACGUUGGUGAGAGUGGAAAGCUCAUCAAGUGACGGUAACUACACAGAAAGGGACGGCUAACUACGUG